UGGGAACGCGAAGAACCUUACCUAGACUUGACAUCUCCUGAAUUACCCUUAAUCGGGGAAGCCCUUCGGGGCAGGAAGACAGGUGGUGCAUGGUUGUCGUCAGCUCGUGUCGUGAGAUGUUGGGUUAAGUCCCGCAACGAGCGCAACCCUUAUUGUUAGUUGCUACCAUUUAGUUGAGCACUCUAGCGAGACUGCCCGGGUUAACCGGGAGGAAGGUGGGGAUGACGUCAAAUCAUCAUGCCCCUUAUGUCUAGGGCUACACACGUGCUACAAUGGCUGGUACAGAGAGAUGCUAAACCGUGAGGCGGAGCUAAACUUUAAACCAGUCUCAGUUCGGAUUGUAGGCUGAAACUCGCCUACAUGAAGCUGGAGUUGCUAGUAAUCGCGAAUCAGAAUGUCGCGGUGAAUACGUUCCCGGGUCUUGUACACACCG
RNAcentral lists this ribosomal RNA (433 nucleotides) under uncultured bacterium. RNAcentral's name for it is "bacterial SSU rRNA". It matches the Rfam family "Bacterial small subunit ribosomal RNA", at positions 954 to 1392 of the family's 1533-position model. The record is from RNAcentral.